UACGGGGGGGGCAAGCGUUGUUCGGAAUUACUGGGCGUAAAGGGUUCGUAGGUGGCUUGCUAAGUCAGACGUGAAAUCCCUCAGCUUAACUGGGGAACUGCGUCUGAGACUGGUGAGCUUGAGUGCAGGAGAGGAACGCGGAAUUUCAGGUGUAGCGGUGAAAUGCGUAGAUAUCUGGAGGAAUACCGGUGGCGAAGGCGGCAUCCUGGACCGACAUUGACGCUGAUGAGCGAAAGCCAGGGGAGCAAACGGG
RNAcentral lists this ribosomal RNA (253 nucleotides) under uncultured bacterium. RNAcentral's name for it is "partial 16S ribosomal RNA". It matches the Rfam family "Bacterial small subunit ribosomal RNA", at positions 524 to 776 of the family's 1533-position model. The record is from RNAcentral.